GAAGAUGAGGAAGACGAGCUGGGAUAAAUCUUAGAAGAGCAUUGAGAUAAAACCAAAAUAAAAAGCAAAUACAAGACGGAGAGUGUGGGGCAUCUUCGACGGCUUUCGCAAAGUGAAAUUUGAGUAGACCGCCGCCUGGGCCGUGGCCCAUCUCGGAGAGCUUCUCAUUCAUUAGC
Molecule: non-coding RNA, 176 nt
Organism: Caenorhabditis elegans
Lineage: Eukaryota; Metazoa; Nematoda; Chromadorea; Rhabditida; Rhabditidae
Source: Ensembl